This 3301-nucleotide unclassified non-coding RNA is filed under the name Camponotus floridanus (Florida carpenter ant). Its description in RNAcentral is "glutamate receptor 1, transcript variant X2". Lineage: Eukaryota; Metazoa; Arthropoda; Insecta; Hymenoptera; Formicidae. The record is from RNAcentral.
UUAAAGGGGUCCACGAACGAAAGAGGAAGGGAGAGAAACGAGAGGGAUUCAGAGGGUGGGAGUGGUAAGUGGGGAAGAGAGAAGACGAGAGGGAUGCUGGGGCGGUUCAGGCGAGACCGAGUUCACGCCAAGUAGAGUACGACAGUUUGUGUCAGACUACGGAGCUCGAAAGAUGCUCUCGGUUGUUCACGAGACGGGUGGACCACCCUCGUCGCGACGACGGUGUCGCGCCAUCGCGGUCUCCCUCGGUAUCGUCGCGUCGGCCGUUCGCGGAGAAGCCGAAAAGAACGCGGGAAACAGCGGUGCCGGUAGGAUCAGCAGACCAACAUCUACUGCCACGAUGAUGACUAUGGCCUUAACCGUCCUUUUGAUCCUGGUGCCCGCGGUAUUUCCAGACAAGAUUUCCAUCGGUGCCAUUUUCGAGCAAGGUACCGACGAAGUGCAGUCCGCUUUCAAGAUCGCGAUGAAGAACCACAACCAAAAUAUUACGACUCGCAAAUUUGAGCUGCAAGCCUUCGUGGAUGUAAUUAACACUGCGGACGCCUACAAGCUAUCUCGUCUAAUUUGUAACCAGUUUAGCAGAGGCGUAUUUUCAAUGUUGGGUGCCGUAAGUCCAGAUUCAUUCGACACGUUGCAUUCUUAUAGCAACACCUUCCAGAUGCCAUUCGUGACACCCUGGUUUCCUGAAAAGGUUCUGACGCCGUCCUCGGGUCUCCUGGACUUCGCCAUAAGUAUGCGGCCGGAUUACCAUCGCGCUAUCAUCGAUACGGUGCGAUACUACGGUUGGAAGAAAAUCAUCUACCUCUACGACUCCCACGAUGGACUGCUCAGGCUGCAGCAGAUUUAUCAGGGCUUGAAACCAGGCAACGAGUCCUUUCAAGUCGAAACCGUCAAGAGAAUACAGAAUAUGUCGGAGGCGAUUGAUUUUCUACGGAGUCUUGAAGAACUUAACCGAUGGAGCAAUAAAUACGUCGUGCUCGACUGUCCGACGGAUAUGGCGAAGGAUAUUGUUGUGAGCCACGUGAGGGAUAUAGCUUUGGGAAAGAGGACGUAUCAUUAUCUGCUGAGUGGCUUGAUAAUGGACGACCGAUGGGAGAGCGAGGUGAUCGAGUUUGGCGCCAUCAACAUCACGGGCUUUCGCAUCGUGGAUGUCACUCGACCUCACGUCAAGGACUUCCUGGCCGGCUGGCAUCGCCAGGAUCCCGCCAUAUCUCAAGCCGGUCGUGAAUCCAUUUCCGCACAAGCCGCUCUGAUGUAUGACGCCGUGUUCGUCUUGGUUGAAGCUUUCAACAAGUUUUUGAGAAAAAGAACUGAUAAAAAUAAUACACGACGUAUAGGAACUCCAAGCAGUAAUCAGCCCAUAAACGGAACAAAAACUUUAGAUUGCUACAACAAUCGUGGCUGGGUCACUCCGUGGGAACAUGGCGACAAAAUCUCGAAAUUUUUAAGAAAGGUUGAGAUCGAAGGACUAACGGGAGAGAUACGAUUCAAUGACGAUGGUCGACGACAAAAUUAUACGCUUCAUGUCGUCGAAAUGACUGUCAAUAGUGCUAUGGUGAAAGUCGCCGAGUGGACCGAUGAAACUGGUUUUCAAGCCAUAGCCGCAAAAUAUGUGCGACUUCGUCCUCAUGAAGUUGAGAAGAAUAAAACUUACAUCGUUACUACAAUAAUGGACGAUCCUUAUAUAAUGAGGAAAAUAUCGGACACUGGUGAAGUAUUAGUUGGAAAUGAUAGUUAUGAAGGAUAUUGUAAAGACUUGGCUGAUCUCAUCGCCAAAAGAUUAGGCAUAUCAUACGAGCUGCGGAUCGUGAAGGACGGAAAAUACGGCGAGGAAAACCAGGACGUCCCGGGUGGCUGGGACGGCAUGGUCGGGGAGCUUAUCAGAAAGGAAGCCGACAUAGCGAUUGCUCCCAUAACUAUCACCUCCGACCGGGAACGCGUGAUCGAUUUUAGUAAACCGUUUAUGUCUCUCGGCAUCAGCAUUAUGAUAAAAAAACCCAUCAAACAAAAAUCCGGAGUCUUCAGUUUUCUGAAUCCGCUGAGCAAGGAAAUCUGGGUGUGCGUCAUUUUUUCCUACAUCGCAGUUUCUAUCGUCCUAUUUAUUGUGUCGAGGUUUUCGCCAUACGAGUGGAGAGUCCUCACCAUCAGCGGUAGCACGGAUUCAGCUAUUAGCGGACGAAACGAUCCCAGUUUGCAGCAUCCGCAUACACCGCAAGGUUCACCCCACAUGCCAACUUCCAGCAUGGCCAACGACUUUAGUAUCGUAAAUAGCCUCUGGUUUGCUCUGGCGGCGUUUAUGCAACAGGGCUGCGAUAUCUCGCCCAGAUCCAUAUCUGGCCGCAUAGCUGGCAGCGUCUGGUGGUUUUUCACUCUGAUUUUAAUAUGCUCCUAUACCGCAAAUCUCGCUGCAUUUUUAACCAUCGAGAGAAUGGUCACGCCAAUUAACUCACCCGAGGAUUUAGCGGCGCAGACAGAUGUCCAGUAUGGCACUCUCGCUCAUGGCGCUACGAUGGAUUUUUUUCGAAAAUCUCAGAUCAGUCUCUAUAGCAAGAUGUGGGAGUUCAUGAACUCGCGGAAGCAUGUAUUCGUAAAAUCCUACGAGGAGGGAAUACGAAGAGUGAGAACGAGUAAGGGCAAAUACGCAUUUUUAAUCGAGAGCCCGAUGAAUGACUACACCAACGAGAGAGAGCCCUGCGACACGAUGAAAGUCGGAAGAAAUCUCGAUGCCAAGGGAUUCGGUGUCGCGACACCGUUAGGAUCCCCUCUCAGGGAUCCCAUAAACUUGGCGGUGCUGUCACUGAAGGAAAAUGGAGAACUGGCAAAGCUGGUCGAACGAUGGUGGUAUGAAAGGACGGAAUGCAGGCACAGUGAUAAACCAGAUACAGCCAGAAACGAAUUAUCACUGAGCAACGUAGCAGGAAUAUUUUAUAUCCUCAUCGGUGGUCUCCUUCUGGCGCUCGCCGUAGCUCUCUUGGAAUUCUGCUACAAGUCGCAUACAGAAGCGACAAGAGCGAAGAUACCACUAUCAGACGCGAUGAAGGCGAAAGCACGACUAACCAUCGGUGGUGGUCGCGAUUUCGACAAUGGACGGUGGUACGGACUGCAGAGUUAGACGGAGGAUGCAUGCGCCUUUCCCGGGACCAUAUCGCGGGAAGAAACGAGUACUGGCUGCGGAGGUACCAACUUUGACUACGUUCGCGCCGAAGUACUACGCUCCAGCAAACGCGAUUGGGAAUACCGAGGGCGACCAGGUACACAGCAAUACACAUACCCAAGUGUAAAUUGUUACCUGGAGAGCCCG